RNAcentral lists this small RNA (151 nucleotides) under Pseudomonas aeruginosa PAK. RNAcentral's name for it is "potential small antisenseRNA". Lineage: Bacteria; Pseudomonadati; Pseudomonadota; Gammaproteobacteria; Pseudomonadales; Pseudomonadaceae. The record is from RNAcentral.
GGCAUCGUCAACUUCGUGACCCGGGCGAUCCCCGAGGACUUCGCCACCAAGCUCGACGUGCACAGCGAACUCAGCCCCAGUUCCAGCCAGGACGGCCUGAAGACCACCCACAACGUGCUGAUCGGCGGCACCGGCGCCAACGGCCUCGGCG